UCUCUCGGAUUGACGGUAGGUGGAGAAGAAGCACCGGCCAACUACGUGCCAGCCGCCGCGGUAAUACGUAGGGUGCGAGCGUUGUCCGGAAUUACUGGGCGUAAAGAGCUCGUAGGUGGUUUGUCGCGUUGUUCGUGAAAUCUCACGGCUUAACUGUGAGCGUGCGGGCGAUACGGGCAGACUAGAGUACUGCAGGGGAGACUGGAAUUCCUGGUGUAGCGGUGGAAUGCGCAGAUAUCAGGAGGAACACCGGUGGCGAAGGCGGGUCUCUGGGCAGUAACUGACGCUGAGGAGCGAAAGCGUGGGGAGCGAACAGGAUUAGAUACCCUGGUAGUCCACGCCGUAAACGGUGGGUACUAGGUGUGGGUUUCCUUCCUU
This 378-nucleotide ribosomal RNA is filed under the name Mycobacterium tuberculosis. RNAcentral describes it as "bacterial SSU rRNA". It matches the Rfam family "Bacterial small subunit ribosomal RNA", at positions 460 to 836 of the family's 1533-position model. The record is from RNAcentral. Lineage: Bacteria; Bacillati; Actinomycetota; Actinomycetes; Mycobacteriales; Mycobacteriaceae.